GUCUGUUUGUAGUUAUAAAGAGUCUGGCCUGCCCACUGAUAAUUUUAAGGGCCGCGGUAUUAUGACCGUGCAAAGGUAGCAUAAUAAUUAGUCUUUUAAUUGAAGGCUCGUAUGAAUGGUUGGACAAAAGGAAUACUGUCUCUAUUUUAUUACUUGAAAUUAACUUUUAAGUGAAAAGGCUUAAAUAUAUCAGAGGGACGAUAAGACCCUAUAAAGCUUUAUAAAUAUUGUGUUUUUAAUUGAAUUUAUUAUAAUAAUCAAAAAUACUUUUUUUAUUAGGUUGGGGCGACAAAGGUAUAAUUAAUUUUUAACUGCUUUAUAAAAAUACAUAAAAUAAAUGAUUUGUCUGUAAACGAUCCUUUAUAUUGAGAUUUAAAGAUUAAGUUACUUUAGGGAUAACAGCGUUAUUUUCUUUGAGAGUUCAUAUCGAAAAGAAAGCUUGCGACCUCGAUGUUGAAUUAAAUUUUCUAUAUGGCGCAGCAGCUAUAUAAGAAGGUCUGUUCGACCUUUAAAAUUUUACAUGAUUUGAGUUCAGACCGGCGUGAGCCAGGUUGGUUUCUAUCUUCUGAGGAAAAAAUUACUAUUUUAGUACGAAAGGAUUAAAUAGUCGAAAAUAUUUUAUUAAUGAUUAA
This 632-nucleotide ribosomal RNA is filed under the name Epilobocera sinuatifrons. RNAcentral describes it as "partial 16S ribosomal RNA". It matches the Rfam family "Archaeal large subunit ribosomal RNA", at positions 1921 to 2794 of the family's 2987-position model. The record is from RNAcentral. Lineage: Eukaryota; Metazoa; Arthropoda; Malacostraca; Decapoda; Pseudothelphusidae.